GAUGAACGCUGGCGGCGUGCCUAAUACAUGCAAGUCGAGCGAACAGACGAGGAGCUUGCUCCUCUGACGUUAGCGGCGGACGGGUGAGUAACACGUGGAUAACCUACUUAUAAGACUGGGAUAACUUCGGGAAACCGGAGCUAAUACCGGAUAAUAUAUUGAACCGCAUGGUUCAAUAGUGAAAGACGGUUCUGCUGUCACUUAUAGAUGGAUCCGCGCCGCAUUAGCUAGUUGGUAAGGUAACGGCUUACCAAGGCGACGAUGCGUAGCCGACCUGAGAGGGUGAUCGGCCACACUGGAACUGAGACACGGUCCAGACUCCUACGGGAGGCAGCAGUAGGGAAUCUUCCGCAAUGGGCGAAAGCCUGACGGAGCAACGCCGCGUGAGUGAUGAAGGUCUUCGGAUCGUAAAACUCUGUUAUUAGGGAAGAACAAAUGUGUAAGUAACUAUGCACGUCUUGACGGUACCUAAUCAGAAAGCCACGGCUAACUACGUG
This 497-nucleotide ribosomal RNA is filed under the name uncultured bacterium. RNAcentral's name for it is "partial 16S ribosomal RNA". It matches the Rfam family "Bacterial small subunit ribosomal RNA", at positions 28 to 507 of the family's 1533-position model. The record is from RNAcentral.